Molecule: long non-coding RNA, 498 nt
Organism: Diceros bicornis minor
Lineage: Eukaryota; Metazoa; Chordata; Mammalia; Perissodactyla; Rhinocerotidae
Exons: 3
Source: RefSeq, a predicted model, not a curated record
UUGCCCCUAAAAUGAAUUUGUGUCUCAGAGCCAUGUCUCAGUUGCCUUAAAACAAAGCAACCCUUAUGAGGUAGGAAGGAGGGGCCUCUGUGAAGGAGUCUGACCUAGAAGAGAGUGCCCUUCUGACCUUAGACCUCUCUCUAGAGCUUCAGAGCAGAGACAGAAGAGCCCAGGAAGGAGCAGAUCCUAGAUUUGCAAGGUCAGAAGCAGAUCUGAUCCCCUUGCCUGGAAUGAGCCAGACUUAAUGAUGAUGCCACCUUCAGGAGCCACCACACUAUGCUGCGCUGCUGUCACAGGUGUCCAUCACCACAUGUGACAUUAAUGACAUUAUCUUGAAAACUUUAAAGACGUUGGGCCUGAAAGUUUCAGUGACUUGUCCAGGGAAACCCAGUUUGUUUGUGACAGAGUCAAAAGGAAAACAGUGCAGUUCCCUCUCUCACAGCUGAACCACAGUUCUCUACACUCUCCCAGGAGCCACAGAAAAUGAACAUCCCUCAA